RNAcentral lists this ribosomal RNA (409 nucleotides) under Clostridioides difficile. RNAcentral describes it as "bacterial SSU rRNA". It matches the Rfam family "Bacterial small subunit ribosomal RNA", at positions 950 to 1358 of the family's 1533-position model. The record is from RNAcentral. Lineage: Bacteria; Bacillati; Bacillota; Clostridia; Peptostreptococcales; Peptostreptococcaceae.
UUCGAAGCAACGCGAAGAACCUUACCUAAGCUUGACAUCCCAAUGACAUCUCCUUAAUCGGAGAGUUCCCUUCGGGGACAUUGGUGACAGGUGGUGCAUGGUUGUCGUCAGCUCGUGUCGGAAGAUGUGGUGUUAAGUCCCGCCACGGGCGCAACCCUUGUCUUUAGUUGCCAUCAUUAAGUUGGGCACGCUAGAGAGACUGCCAGGGAUAACCUGGAGGAAGGUGGGGAUGACGUCAAAUCAUCAUGCCCCUUAUGCUUAGGGCUACACACGUGCUACAAGGGGUAGUACAGAGGGUUGCCAAGCCGUAAGGCGGAGCUAAUCCCUUAAAGCUACUCUCAGUUCGGAUUGUAGGCUGAAACUCGCCUACAUGAAGCUGGAGUUACUAGUAAUCGCAGAUCAGAAUGCU